UUCGAUUAACGCGAAGAACCUUACCGGGGCUUGACAUCCUGCACCAUUCUGGGAGACUAGGCUUUCUAGCAAUAGAACGCAGAGACAGGUGCUGCAUGGCUGUCGUCAGCUCGUGCCGUGAGGUGUUGGGUUAAGACCCGCAACGAGCGCAACCCUUGCCGUGUGUUGGUCCAAAAGAUCUCUCACGCGGGACCGCCGGUGACAAGCCGGAGGAAGGUGGGGAUGACGUCAAGUCAGCAUGGCCCUUACGUCCCGGGCUACACACGUGCUGCAAUGGAAAGGACAGCGAGUUGCGAACCCGCGAGGGUAAGCUAAUCUCACAAACCUUUUCUCAGUUCGGAUUGAAGGCUGCAACUCGCCUUCAUGAAGUCGGAAUCGCUAGUAACCGCAGAUCAGCUACGCUGCGGUGAAUACGUUCCCGGGCCUUGUCACACCGAAUCACUA
Molecule: ribosomal RNA, 444 nt
Filed under: uncultured soil bacterium
Lineage: Bacteria
Description: bacterial SSU rRNA
Rfam family: Bacterial small subunit ribosomal RNA
Source: RNAcentral